RNAcentral lists this ribosomal RNA (799 nucleotides) under uncultured Duganella sp. RNAcentral describes it as "bacterial SSU rRNA". It matches the Rfam family "Bacterial small subunit ribosomal RNA", at positions 72 to 868 of the family's 1533-position model. The record is from RNAcentral. Lineage: Bacteria; Pseudomonadati; Pseudomonadota; Betaproteobacteria; Burkholderiales; Oxalobacteraceae.
CGCGGGCUUCGGCCUGGCGGCGAGUGGCGAACGGGUGAGUAAUAUAUCGGAACGUACCCAAGAGUGGGGGAUAACGUAGCGAAAGUUACGCUAAUACCGCAUACGAUCUAAGGAUGAAAGCAGGGGAUCGCAAGACCUUGUGCUCCUGGAGCGGCCGAUAUCUGAUUAGCUAGUUGGUGAGGUAAAGGCUCACCAAGGCAACGAUCAGUAGCUGGUCUGAGAGGACGACCAGCCACACUGGAACUGAGACACGGUCCAGACUCCUACGGGAGGCAGCAGUGGGGAAUUUUGGACAAUGGGGGCAACCCUGAUCCAGCAAUGCCGCGUGAGUGAAGAAGGCCUUCGGGUUGUAAAGCUCUUUUGUCAGGGAAGAAAAGGCUGUGGCUAAUAUCCGCAGCUGCUGACGGUACCUGAAGAAUAAGCACCGGCUAACUACGUGCCAGCAGCCGCGGUAAUACGUAGGGUGCAAGCGUUAAUCGGAAUUACUGGGCGUAAAGCGUGCGCAGGCGGUUUCGUAAGUCUGUCGUGAAAUCCCCGGGCUUAACCUGGGAAUGGCGAUGGAGACUGCGAGGCUAGAGUUUGGCAGAGGGGGGUAGAAUUCCACGUGUAGCAGUGAAAUGCGUAGAGAUGUGGAGGAACACCGAUGGCGAAGGCAGCCCCCUGGGUCAAAACUGACGCACAUGCACGAAAGCGUGGGGAGCAAACAGGAUUAGAUACCCUGGUAGUCCACGCCCUAAACGAUGUCUACUAGUUGUUGGGUCUUAAUUGACUUAGUAACGCAGCUAACGCGUGAAGUAGA